Molecule: long non-coding RNA, 656 nt
Organism: Dalotia coriaria
Lineage: Eukaryota; Metazoa; Arthropoda; Insecta; Coleoptera; Staphylinidae
Exons: 2
Source: RefSeq, a predicted model, not a curated record
CGAUUUCCUCGAGAACACGACUCUUUGCUUCCUUAUUCACAACUCCGGGAAACACGCAGUAUUCCACAGCGUUCAACAUUAUUCCCCGAUUGGAUUUCGUCGUUGGUUGCUUAUACAAUCUUGGACCUAAAACAGAAGUCGAGCUCAAAUCGCUGGAUCCGUCGUCGAAACGUCGCUUCGUCAUCAUGCCAGGCAGACUGCCGGGACCCGAGGGUGACGUAAGGUGUCGCAUUGGUCCCAUUCCGGGCGAGGGUGCUCUUCGUGGUGGGGUUGCGCGUCCCAGCCCGCUGUCGGUGUCACCGUAGCGAUACGCGUAGCUGUCCUGAUCGGUACUCGAUCCUAGACACAGAAAAAUCAAUCAGAAUCCUCGCUCGCACGCGUACCCAACCAACUAUAGCCCAGGUUACUUAUUAAUUCAUUAACAAAUUAAAUACCUACACCAAUUCAUUAACAACUGGAUUAUUAUAAACUUGAAAAUCGAAUUGAAAUAUUGUGAAAAGUUCAGCAUUAAUAUAAUGAAACGCACUAGGACUCUAGGAGUAUCCGUUCUAUGCGACUAACUGUAUUAAUAUUUUGUGAAUUAUUCCACUGAGUGUGAGUGAAAUUGUUAUCGAGACCCUACUGACCAUAAAUAAACGCAUGUUAUUUCAAGAUUA